GAUGAACGCUGGCGGCGUGCCUAAUACAUGCAAGUCGAGCGAACGGACGAGAAGCUUGCUUCUCUGAUGUUAGCGGCGGACGGGUGAGUAACACGUGGAUAACCUACCUAUAAGACUGGGAUAACUUCGGGAAACCGGAGCUAAUACCGGAUGAUAUUUUGAACCGCAUGGUUCAAAAGUGAAAGACGGUCUUGCUGUCACUUAUAGAUGGAUCCGCGCUGCAUUAGCUAGUUGGUAAGGUAACGGCUUACCAAGGCAACGAUGCAUAGCCGACCUGAGAGGGUGAUCGGCCACACGGGAACGGAGACACGGUCCAGACUCCUACGGGAGGCAGCAGUAGGGAAUCUUCCGCAAUGGGCGAAAGCCUGACGGAGCAACGCCGCGUGAGUGAUGAAGGUCUUCGGAUCGUAAAACUCUGUUAUUAGGGAAGAACAUAUGUGUAAGUAACUGUGCACAACUUGACGGUACCUAAUCAGAAAGCCACGGCUAACUACGUG
RNAcentral lists this ribosomal RNA (497 nucleotides) under uncultured bacterium. Its description in RNAcentral is "partial 16S ribosomal RNA". It matches the Rfam family "Bacterial small subunit ribosomal RNA", at positions 28 to 507 of the family's 1533-position model. The record is from RNAcentral.